CCCUUAGAUGUCCUGGGCCGCACGCGCGUUACACUGAUGCAUUCAACGAGCUUAUAACCUUGGCCGAGAGGCCUGGGCAAUCUUGUUAACGUGCAUCGUGAUAGGGAUAGAUUAUUGAAAUUAUUAAUCUUGAACGAGGAAUUCCUAGUAAACGCAGAUCAUCAAUCUGCAUUGAUUACGUCCCUGCCCUUUGUACACACCGCCCGUCGCACCUACCGAUUGGAUGGUCCGGUGAAGCCUCGGGACGGCGGCUCGGUCGCUUGCGUCCGACUGCUGAAACUUGAUUAAACCAUAUCAUUUAGAGGAAGGUGAAGUCGUAACA
This 322-nucleotide ribosomal RNA is filed under the name uncultured eukaryote. RNAcentral's name for it is "partial 18S ribosomal RNA". It matches the Rfam family "Eukaryotic small subunit ribosomal RNA", at positions 1470 to 1796 of the family's 1831-position model. The record is from RNAcentral.